RNAcentral lists this ribosomal RNA (775 nucleotides) under uncultured Neocallimastigales. RNAcentral's name for it is "partial large subunit ribosomal RNA". It matches the Rfam family "Eukaryotic large subunit ribosomal RNA", at positions 22 to 637 of the family's 3401-position model. The record is from RNAcentral. Lineage: Eukaryota; Fungi; Neocallimastigomycota; Neocallimastigomycetes; Neocallimastigales.
UAGAUGCGAGAGUAGAGCAUAUCAAUAAGCGGAGGAAAAGAAACUAACUAGGAUUCCCUCAGUAACGGCGAGUGAAGCGGGAAGAGCUCAAAUUUGAAAUCUUCAAGGUUCUACCUUGACGAAUUGUAGUUUAAAGAAGUGUUUUCUGUUGGAGUUUUGGUAAAAGUUCUUUGGAAUAGGACAUCAUAGAGGGUGAGAAUCCCGUAUUUGACCAUUAUUUCCAACUUUGUGAUACACUUUCAAAGAGUCGGAUUGUUUGGGAAUGCAGUCCAAAAUGGGUGGUAAAUUUCAUCUAAAGCUAAAUAUUGGCGAGAGACCGAUAGCGAACAAGUACCGUGAGGGAAGGAUGAAAAGAACUUUGAAAAGAGAGUUAAACAGUACGUGAAAUUGUCAAAAGGGAAGCGUUUGACACCAGUGUUGUUUAGUUGAAAAUCAAUUCAAUAAUUUGGGAUUUUGAGUAGUAUUGACUUCAUCAGCUUGCUGCACUUUCUUUUCUGUAUUAUUGAAUGCACUUUUCAGUUAACAAGUCAACAUCAAUUUCUUUUGUUGUAAAAGGGUAAGAGGAAGGUGGCUUACGCUUCGGCGUAAGUGUUUAUAGCCUUUUACCUCUGCAAUCGGAGAGAUUGAGGACAGCAGCGUAGACUCUUCGGGGUUAGAUACACUUGUGCUAAGCUAUAGCCUUGUAUAGACAACUUGUUGACUAUGCUCAGUCAUGUAGCUUACUCGCUUGUGCUAUUUUACCUACGCUUAGGAUGUUGACGCGCGUGUGUGCGUG